CUCCGACUAUGAAGCUCUGGAGUCCAGCAUCCUCCGAGUGGUCCAUCACCACGAGCAACGGGCAGGAGGGUAGGGGGUGUCGUGCAUGGCGAUGGUGGUCACCAGGGAGAUUCUUCAAGAGGCAGUGGAGCAGAUCUGUGUGCCGCUGGGGGAGCUGCUAGGAGGCCCUGAGGCUGCAGUCAGAGGAGCUGUGGAUCAAAGAUGGCCGUCGCUCAGUGGACCUGGAGGAGCUGCUGAGGGUGUUGCAGGAGAGGAGCGGCUUCUCACCCUAUGAUGACACAACCAGUCCUAACGCUGGCGAGGCCCAGCUUCAAGGUAUGGAUAUAGAGCUCAUGUUUCUGAAGGAGCUGAAGGAGUUCUCUGAUGGGGAGCUGACCAUAUCGUUCACCAUUGUGUCAGUAGAUCUGAAGAGUGACCGUCGCCAUCCACGCCAGCAGGUGGCAGUGUACUCAGACAACUCUUACAUUCUCAACCAGGUAUGUGUUAUUUUGCAGGCCUACGUAGAUACACACACAUCACCUAGUCCAGAGUUAUAUACACAUCACCUAGUAGAGCGGUAUACACAGAUCACCUAGGAAAUACAUGUGGACACCCUUUCAAAUUUGUGGAUUUGUCUAUUUCAGCCACACCCAUUGCUGACAGGUGUAUAAAAUCGAGGAACACAUCCAUGCAAUCUCCAUAGACAAACAUUGACAGUGGAAUGGUCUUACUGAAGAGCUCAGUGACUUUCAACGUGACACCAUCAUAGGAUGCCACCUUUCCAACAAGUCAGUUCGUCAAAUUUCUGCCUUGCGAGAGCUGCCCCAGUCAACUGUAAGUGCUGUUAUUUUUGAAGUGGAAACAUCUAGGAGCAACAAUGGCUCAGCCGUGAAGUGGUAGGCCACACAAGCUCACAGAACGGGACCGCCGGGUACUGAAGUGCAUAGCGAGUAAGAAUCCUCUGUCCUCGGUUGCAACACUCACUCCAAACUGCCUCUGGAAGCAACGUCGGCACAAUAACUGUAUGUCGGGAGUUUUAUUAAAUGGGUUUCGAUGGCCGAGCAGCUGCACACAAGCCUAAGAUCACCAUGCGCAAUGUCAAGCGUCGGCUAGAGUAGUGUAAAGCUCACCCCAAUUGGUCUCUGGAGCAGUGGAAACACGUUUUCUGGAGUGAUGUAUCACUCUUCACCAUCUGGGUUUGGCGGAUACCAGGAGAACGCUACCUGCCCAAAUGCAUUGUGCCAACUGUAAAGUUUGGUGGAGAAAUAAUGGUCUGGGGCUGUUUUCAUGGUUCAGGCUAGGCCCCUUAGUUCCAGUGAAGGGAAAUCUUAACGCUAUAGCAUACAAUGACAUUGUAGAACAGUUUGGGGAAGGCCUUUCCUGUUUCAGCAUGACAAUGCCCCCGUGCACAAAGUGAGGUCCAUACAGAAAUGGUUUGUAGAGAUCGGUGUGGAAGAACUUGACUGGCCUGCACAGAGCCCUGAACUCAACCCCAUCGAUUACCUUUGGGAUGAAUUGGGCUGCCGACUGCGAGCCAGGCCUAAUUGCCCAACGUAUUCUUCUUCUUUGUGUUUGCCCUGAGGCCAUCAUGUCUUUUCUAUGGAGUGUGUAUGGGCCUUUAAACAGCUGCUGGGUAUUUGUAAAGUAGCACGGACUGUGGAAGCAGAGUUAAAAGCUAUCAAGAGAGUAAGAUGGUGUGUUCUAUGUGAGGGAAGAAUGAGGUGGCUGAACAGGGUAGAGAGAGGAUGUUGACCCGUGUG
Molecule: long non-coding RNA, 1739 nt
Organism: Salmo trutta (river trout)
Lineage: Eukaryota; Metazoa; Chordata; Actinopteri; Salmoniformes; Salmonidae
Source: Ensembl